AGAUUGAACGCUGGCGGCAUGCUUUACACAUGCAAGUCGAACGGCAGCGCGGGGCAACCUGGCGGCGAGUGGCGAACGGGUGAGUAAUAUAUCGGAACGUACCCAAGAGUGGGGGAUAACGUAGCGAAAGUUACGCUAAUACCGCAUACGAUCUAAGGAUGAAAGCAGGGGGACCGCAAGGCCUUGUGCUCCUGGAGCGGCCGAUAUCUGAUUAGCUAGUUGGUAGGGUAAAGGCCUACCAAGGCUACGAUCAGUAGCUGGUCUGAGAGGACGACCAGCCACACUGGAACUGAGACACGGUCCAGACUCCUACGGGAGGCAGCAGUGGGGAAUUUGGACAAGUGGGCGACAAGCCUGAUCCAGCAAUGCCGCGUGAGUGAAGGAAGGCCGUUCGGUUGUAAAGUCUCUUUUGUCGAGGAAGAACGGUGGGACUAAGUAUCCGU
RNAcentral lists this ribosomal RNA (443 nucleotides) under uncultured soil bacterium. RNAcentral describes it as "bacterial SSU rRNA". It matches the Rfam family "Bacterial small subunit ribosomal RNA", at positions 26 to 468 of the family's 1533-position model. The record is from RNAcentral.